This 322-nucleotide ribosomal RNA is filed under the name uncultured eukaryote. RNAcentral's name for it is "partial 18S ribosomal RNA". It matches the Rfam family "Eukaryotic small subunit ribosomal RNA", at positions 1470 to 1796 of the family's 1831-position model. The record is from RNAcentral.
CCCUUAGAUGUUCUGGGCCGCACGCGUGCUACACUGAGUAAAUCAAUGGGUAAGGGAACCCGAAAGUGCAACCUAAUCUUCAAAUUUGCUCGUGAUGGGGAUCGACGGUUGCAAUUUUCCGUCGUGAACGAGGAAUACCUUGUAGGCGCGUGUCAUCAUCACGCGCCGAAUACGUCCCUGCCCUUUGUACACACCGCCCGUCGCUCCUACCGAUUGAGUGAUCCGGUGAGGCUCUGGGACCUGGACGGAAAGAGCGUUUCGCUUGUUCUGUUUGGGAAACUUGGUCGAACCUUAUCAUUUAGAGGAAGGAGAAGUCGUAACA